GAUGAACGCUGGCGGCGUGCCUAAUACAUGCAAGUCGAUCGAACGGACGAGAAGCUUGCUUCUCUGAUGUUAGCGGCGGACGGGUGAGUAACACGUGGAUAACCUACCUAUAAGACUGGGAUAACUUCGGGAAACCGUAGCUAAUACCGGAUAAUAUUUUGAACCGCAUGGUUCAAAAGUGAAAGACGGUCUUGCUGUCACUUAUAGAUGGAUCCGCGCUGCAUUAGCUAGUUGGUAAGGUAACGGCUUACCAAGGCAACGAUGCAUAGCCGACCUGAGAGGGUGAUCGGCCACACUGGAACUGAGACACGGUCCAGACUCCUACGGGAGGCAGCAGUAGGGAAUCUUCCGCAAUGGGCGAAAGCCUGACGGAGCAACGCCGCGUGAGUGAUGAAGGUCUUCGGAUCGUAAAACUCUGUUAUUAGGGAAGAACAUAUGUGUAAGUAACUGUGCACAUCUUGACGGUACCUAAUCAGAAAGCCACGGCUAACUACGUG
Molecule: ribosomal RNA, 497 nt
Filed under: uncultured bacterium
Lineage: Bacteria
Description: partial 16S ribosomal RNA
Rfam family: Bacterial small subunit ribosomal RNA
Source: RNAcentral